Molecule: ribosomal RNA, 497 nt
Filed under: uncultured bacterium
Lineage: Bacteria
Description: bacterial SSU rRNA
Rfam family: Bacterial small subunit ribosomal RNA
Source: RNAcentral
AGGAACGAACGCUGGCGGCGUGCCUAAGCCAUGCAAGUCGAACGGGUUGUCGCAAGACAAUCAGUGGCGAACUGGUGAGUAAUACGUGGGUAAUCUGCCCGAGAGUGGGGAAUAGCCCUUCCAACGAGGGGGUAACACCGCAUAUUAUCGCGAAUCCGCAUGGAUUUGCGAUGAAAACAGGGGAUCGCAAGACCUUGUGCUCUCGGAUGAACCCGCGCCCCAUUAGCUAGUUGGUGAGGUAACGGCUCACCAAGGCGACGAUGGGUAGCCGGCCUGAGAGGGUGACCGGCCACACUGGGACUGAGAUACGGCCCAGACUCCUACGGGAGGCAGCAGGCGGGAAUAUUGGGCAAUGGACGAAAGUCUGACCCAGCGACGCCGCGUGAGGGAUGAAGCUUCUCGGAGCGUAAACCUCAAACGGAUAGGGACGAAAAGCCUAUCGGCUAAUAUCCGGUAGGCCUGACGGUACCUGUUACGAAGCUCCGGCUAACUCCGUG